This is a transfer RNA of Rhizophagus irregularis DAOM 197198w, 73 nucleotides long. It matches the Rfam family "tRNA". From Rfam's summary of the family: Transfer RNA (tRNA) molecules are approximately 80 nucleotides in length. Their secondary structure includes four short double-helical elements and three loops (D, anti-codon, and T loops). Further hydrogen bonds mediate the characteristic L-shaped molecular structure. tRNAs have two regions of fundamental functional importance: the anti-codon, which is responsible for specific mRNA codon recognition, and the 3' end, to which the tRNAs corresponding amino acid is attached (by aminoacyl-tRNA synthetases). tRNAs cope with the degeneracy of the genetic code in two manners: having more than one tRNA (with a specific anti-codon) for a particular amino acid; and 'wobble' base-pairing, i.e. permitting non-standard base-pairing at the 3rd anti-codon position. Lineage: Eukaryota; Fungi; Glomeromycota; Glomeromycetes; Glomerales; Glomeraceae. The record is from Rfam.
GCUUCGAUAGUGUAGUGGUUAUCACGUAAGCUUUACACGCUUAAUGUCCUCGGUUCGAACCCGAGUCGAAGCA